Molecule: transfer RNA, 69 nt
Filed under: Oreohelix idahoensis
Lineage: Eukaryota; Metazoa; Mollusca; Gastropoda; Stylommatophora; Oreohelicidae
Description: tRNA-Arg
Source: RNAcentral
AUAUUAGAAGCAUAUGUGCAUUAAGUUUCGGCCUUAAAUACUAACAGAAUAAUGCCUGUUACUAAUAUA